AUUGAACGCUGGCGGCAUGCUUUACACAUGCAAGUCGAACGGUAACAGGCCUUCGGGUGCUGACGAGUGGCGAACGGGUGAGUAAUGCAUCGGAACGUACCCAGAGGUGGGGGAUAACGCAGCGAAAGCUGUGCUAAUACCGCAUGUGAUCUGAGGAUGAAAGCGGGGGACCGAGCAGCAAUGUUUGGCCUCGCGCCUUUGGAGCGGCCGAUGUCGGAUUAGCUAGUGUGUGGGGUAAAGGCCCACCAAGGCGACGAUCCGUAGCUGGGCUGAGAGGACGACCAGCCCCACUGGGACUGAGACACGGCCCAGACUCCUACGGGAGGCAGCAGUGGGGAAUUUUGGACAAUGGGCGCAAGCCUGAUCCAGCAAUGCCGCGUGCGGGAAGAAGGCCUUCGGGUUGUAAACCGCUUUUGGCAGGAACGAAACGGUGUCCGCUAAUACCGGGCGCUAAUGACGGUACCUGCAGAAUAAGCACCGGCUAACUACGUG
Molecule: ribosomal RNA, 492 nt
Filed under: uncultured bacterium
Lineage: Bacteria
Description: partial 16S ribosomal RNA
Rfam family: Bacterial small subunit ribosomal RNA
Source: RNAcentral